GGGUACCAAAGUCCACUCUGAGCUUUUCCUCUGGGAACAGAUCCCAGAUUAUUCCAGACUUAAGACAUGGAGAUAUAUCUUGCUAGAGCCCCCAGUAUAUAUUCAGUGUGUCCUCUGAAGUAACAACCAUCCCAUCUGGCUGAGAAGUGAUGGACACGGCUCCUUAACCACACUGUACCCUCUGUUCUUGGCACCUCUCUACCAGAAAGAUAUCAACAAAUUGGAUGGAAUUCAGAGAACAGUAAGAAAAAUGAUUAAAGAGAUGGAGGCAGUGACUUAUGAGGAAAGAUGAAAAGGACUAAAUCUAUGUAGCUUGGCAAAGCAACAACUGAGUGACUUCCUAUUAUCCUUCUCAAAGUUAUUGCUGCAGAGGAAAGAAGCAUACAUCUUUUACCCACCAGGAAACCCCCAAAGCAUCUAUUACCAUAAUAGCCAUGGGAAACAGAAGGCACCUCAAAUAAAGGUGGGGAAAAGAAUGAAAGAAAUGGCUUUGGCCUGUGCCUGUUUGACCUCUGAGAGAUACUUUUUGCAAGAAAUUGUUAAGUUUUGGCCCAAAAAGUGGUCGGUCUUUUAUCCUUCCUUGUGGAGGCCAAACUGCAAACCAGGAUGAAGAAACCAUCAGUGGCAGUUUGGGGAGGUGGAGGAGGGACUAUCUAGACUCAGUGAAUCACCAAGGAAACAUGAGGCCUAUUUCUCUGUGAAGCUGAACUUCAAAAAACAAUCUAAGAGAUACAAAGGGAAAAGUGUGACUGCUCUGACAGCAAAAACAAGCAAAUAUCUCCAGAGGGGAUUAAUCCUUCUGCUUCAAAGUAACUAAAACAAAGAAAGCUGAGCCAGCUUCACUGGAAACAACACCUGUCCAUCAGACAAGGAUGAGCUAAUCAAAAGAAAACACUGCCUAUGUGCACGACUCAGCAGCCUGGACAGCUAAUACCAAGGAACACGUUUUCACUAUAAAGAUUCAGCUUUCAAAAUCCAGUUCCCUCUUGUAGAGCCACAGGGUUAAAAGGGACCUUAGAGAUCAUCUACAUACAGGCCAAACCCUCAAUGAAUGCCAGUGUUCGCCUUAUGUUCUUCUUGCCGGACUCUUUUCUGGCCUCUGUUCUGUCAGGAUGUUUCCUGUUUUGCAAAACAGCUUUAAUCCUUGAGUAUAUUUAAUUGUUAGAAAACAGUUCCUCAAAUUUGACCCCAAAUUUAAGUCUAAUUUAUGAAGAAAGUUUUGCCUUUGGAGACAGGUUUAAUUUUACUUCCAUGUGGAAAACCUUCAAAUAAAAUGAUGACUAUUGUGUACUCACGA
Molecule: long non-coding RNA, 1297 nt
Filed under: Homo sapiens (human)
Lineage: Eukaryota; Metazoa; Chordata; Mammalia; Primates; Hominidae
Description: HSALNT0313975
Rfam family: Non-coding RNA LOC285194 (bases 718-882)
Source: RNAcentral